UCUUUAUGUGUUCAUCAACCUCACUGAAGAAGGGAAAAAAUGAGAAAAAAACACUGAAAAGGAUGGUCAUUGCAAGUAGGAUGCAUAGCCAGGAGGCCACAUUUAGGUGUAAGCUGAUUACUGAUCUAAACUCACACAUGAAGAUGCGAAUAAGGAUAUGGUAAUUCUCUGCCCCAGCUCUGUCACUUCCUAAGUGACGAGGGUGAUGAAGUCACCGCUUCAGAAACAAUGGCAGUGAUGAAUGCCUCAGUAGGGAUUGGCCAAGCUUUAUCCUGCAUAUGCCAUAAAGGAAGCAUUGAGUAAAAUCAGGUAGCUUCGCUUAUGCAGAAGACUCAAUGGCCCCUAAACACUUGAACAUCUAAACCUGACUAGAAAAAGGGACAACGCACACAAAAACAUUCACGGCAUCUCCGUGAAAUCAUAUUUCACUCAAAGAUUGGAGAGGAGCAUGGCUCAUAUAUGAGGAAACAAUGCAACUUGGACGGAACAUUUUAGAACAUUCAGGUGAUACUUCUGUGUGACUACCUUGGGUGGUCCUGGAUUCAGAGUUUGUUUAGUCAUAUAGUGGCCAUGAGCUUCUCUUCUCCUAUAAGAAUGACUCUACAUGUUGCUUUAGGAGCAGAAGACAGCAUGAGUCAGUCACUUAGGAUUUCGCCUGGAAGUAGAAAAUCUGUUUGAGAUUUGGACUAAGAGCAAUUGAGUUAGAGAAGCUAGAAGUUCAACAAAAAUUUUCUGGUAACACA
Microcebus murinus (gray mouse lemur) is the source of this 743-nucleotide non-coding RNA. The record is from RefSeq and is a predicted model, not a curated record. NCBI's taxonomy places the organism in Eukaryota, Metazoa, Chordata, Mammalia, Primates, Cheirogaleidae.